Molecule: ribosomal RNA, 119 nt
Filed under: Pelobates cultripes (western spadefoot toad)
Lineage: Eukaryota; Metazoa; Chordata; Amphibia; Anura; Pelobatidae
Source: RNAcentral
GCCUAUGGCCAUACCAGUCUGAAAGUGCCUGAUCUCGUCAGAUCUCAGAAGUCAUGCAGACUUGGGCCUGCUUAGUACUUGUAUGGAAGACUAACUAGGAACCUCAGGUGCCGUAAGAU